CCCAGCCACCUCAGUCUCUGCCGCCACUGCAGCCAAGCAGCCCCCGCAGCUCCCUGCAACCCCCACAGCCACGUAGUCCCGCAGCGGUGCAGCCACCACAACCACGCAGCCUCCACCGCCACCGUAGGAAGAUCCGUCGCCGUCGUAGGAAGCUGUGUCGCCGUGAUUGGAAGCUCCCUCGCCACAGGGAUCCUUGGGAAGAAAUGUCCGUCAGCAAUCGGGAUUACCGCGCUGAAGGCGAUUACCACAAUACGACGUGUGUCGUUUUUUGCUGGACAACUGUUGGGACCGUGAGAUGGCAGCUCUAACUGUGCCAACAGUCGUCCAGCAAAAAACGAGGCACGACGUAUUGAUCAGCACGGUAAUUGCGAUUGUUGACGGACAUUUCUACCUAGGGAUCGCUGUGGCCAUCAGUCUAUCACGAUCUGCUUCAUCAUCAGGAUCACCUUUGCGAUUUGGAUCUUCGGAAUCGCUGGAUAGAUCGCCAGAAUUGCACAUUGCAGUGAUGAUGAAGCUUAUGAUUGAAGAGGCGAAGAAAAACAAGAUAGAACGGAGAGAAUUGAACGGAGACAUUUUCUGACCAGAGAAGAAAUGACUCACUUUGUUAUUUAUUCCAAUCUGAGAAGAGAUUUGGGAUAUUAUUAUAUUCCAUCCUUUGAAGAAGACUGAUCCCUUGAAUCUCUAUGAGUCCCUUCGCAGUUACUUUGUCCUCAAAUACUCUGACAGCGUGGCAAAGAGAGUAGGCCUUCUCGAAAUGCUACACAAAUUGCUCAAUGACCUUUCGCUACCCCUUCGCCGUGACUGCCUCAUCCGUUAUUUCAAAUGCCUUUGCAUGAUUAUUGAGCCUGUCUUCCCUGUGAAUGCCUCACCCAACCCACCUAUCUUUGUUUGGUACAAUGCCAUCAUCCCUCAACAGUACUCUUCUCAGCAUAACAUCCAUUUGGAGAAGGCCUCUGUUCUCUUCAACCUGGGAGCCCUCUGCACUCACAUUGCUCUCUCCUGCGAUCAAUAUGAUAAACAAUCAGUUUCGCGACUUGAAAUCAAAGUUUCCUCGUCCCCAAUCUGAUGAAUCAUCUACCUUUUCAGUUGAUCUUUUCUUAUUACAAAUGAUUGAUGUCCAUCUUGAUUUGUUAAAUUGUUUGAUUGAGAUGAUGCAGGCUUUCUCAGCUUAUAAUUCGUUGACAUAUGAGCUUUUAGCUUAUGAUCUAAGUGAUGUCACUGAACAAUUUCUUUUAGGGUAUUGUAAGGCUUACUCCAUGCUUCAAGGGUUAUGUGAAGCACCACCAUGCUUGGACCUUCUCUCUGAGCACAAAUGGGGAUUUCUUCCUCAAUCUGAAGGAAAUGCUAUCAAAACGAGAGUAACUUGAUUUGAAAUGCAUCAAGCUCUGAAGUUGCAUCAAGGCGCGAUAUCAGAGCUAAGUCAAUACAAUCCACUUGAUCUAUUCUCCGGAUCUAAAGAGAGGAUUCAUAAGGCUACCAAGGAUCUCUUUAUUACUCCUCAGAACAAUUUUCAUACUCGGAGGACUGGGAGGUGGCACAAGGAAAACAGAUUCGCAUUUGGCUCAAGCAUUUGAGGAAAGGCUGAAGUCUGUCAUUGAAGCCGAUCAAGGUCAUUGUACGGAGAACUUGUUUACGCCCGUUGCUGAGACCAUACACAAAUCAAGAGUCCUUGAUCUGCUCCUUGAGGUUCAGAAGCUCGACAAUUUCGACAUAGAAGGAGCCAUCCAUGCAUAUUAUAACAUUACUUCUCGACAUAGAAUGAAUAAAAUGCAUAUUAUAACAUAUUAUAAGUGAUUUGAUCCUUGUUUAGGUGUAUUUUAUCGACCUUGAUUUGAAGUGAUUGAAUAAAAUGAAAGAAUAUUAUGAGUUAGAUAAGAAAAUAGUGAGCUGUUAUAAACAAAGGAUGAACAUGGA
Molecule: RNA transcript, 1914 nt
Organism: Arachis duranensis
Lineage: Eukaryota; Viridiplantae; Streptophyta; Magnoliopsida; Fabales; Fabaceae
Exons: 3
Source: RefSeq, a predicted model, not a curated record